AGGGAAUAUUGCAAAAUGGGCGAAAGCCCGAUGCAGCAACGCCGCGUGGGCGAUGAAGGCCUUCGGGUCGUAAACCGCUUUUCUGGGGGAAGAGCAAGGACGGUACCUCAGGAAUAAGUCUCGGCUAACUACGUGCCAGCAGCCGCGGUAAAACGUAGGAGGCGAGCGUUAUCCGGAUUUACUGGGCGUAAAGCGCACGCAGGCGGCUCUGUUAGUCGGACGUGAAAGCUCUCGGCUUAACCGGGAGAGGCCGUUCGAUACUGCGGGGCUUGAGGUAGGGAGAGGAAUGCGGAAUUCCCGGUGUAGUGGUGGAAUGCGUAGAUAUCGGGAGGAACACCUGUGGCGAAAGCGGCAUUCUGGCCCUCACCUGACGCUGAGGUGCGAAAGCGUGGGUAGCAAACA
Molecule: ribosomal RNA, 402 nt
Filed under: uncultured bacterium
Lineage: Bacteria
Description: bacterial SSU rRNA
Rfam family: Bacterial small subunit ribosomal RNA
Source: RNAcentral